This 510-nucleotide ribosomal RNA is filed under the name uncultured bacterium. RNAcentral describes it as "bacterial SSU rRNA". It matches the Rfam family "Bacterial small subunit ribosomal RNA", at positions 43 to 507 of the family's 1533-position model. The record is from RNAcentral.
CGUGCCUAAUACAUGCAAGUCGAACGCAUUGUGGUUGAAAUGAUAUGAAGAACUUGUUCAGUAUUUGAUUUUCAACAUUGCAAUGAGUGGCGAACGGGUGAGUAACACGUGGGAAACCUACCUCUUAGCAGGGGAUAACAUUUGGAAACAAAUGCUAAUACCGUAUAAUAAUUAAAACCGCAUGGUUUUAGUUUAAAGAUGGUCUUGCUAUCACUAAGAGAUGGUCCCGCGGUGUAUUAGUUAGUUGGUGAGGUAAUGGCUCACCAAGACAAUGAUACAUAGCCGAGUUGAGAGACUGACCGGCCACAAUGGGACUGAGACACGGCCCAUACUCCUACGGGAGGCAGCAGUAGGGAAUCUUCCACAAUGGACGAAAGUCUGAUGGAGCAACGCCGCGUGUGUGAUGAAGGGUUUCGGCUCGUAAAACACUGUUGUAAGAGAAGAAUGACAUUGAGAGUAACUGUUCAAUGUGUGACGGUAUCUUACCAGAAAGGAACGGCUAAAUACGUG